GGAGUAAUGUCCACAGUGAAAUGGUGGUUGUACAGUUGGUGAACAGCCCACAGAGAGGAUGCUGGAGCUGUGGCUAAGUGGGAAAUAUUGGCCCCUGGGGUUGCCAAUGCUGAAAGAGCCGCUGCUCGGCUGCGCCGCGCCCUCGCGGAUCUAGGAGUCCAAUUUAAGCCGGCGGAGUUGGCGGAGCGGAGGCGCUGCGGCGGCGGCAGACUCGGCGCGGCUCGGGCACCUCUCUUCCUUAUCUCUUACUCAAACUUCUCUGCUCCAACUCAGCUCCAUCGCCAUUGGUCUGACGCAGCGCGCGGGGACGUCAGGCGAGCGCCGCGCCCAUUGGCUGCAGGGCGCGCGGCGCAGCUGUUCUGAUUAUCAUAUUUCAGCCUCGCCGCCGCUGAGCGCCACUGACCGCUCGGCGAGCCAGCGGGAGAGGAUUAGGGCUCCCGAGGCAACUUGCUCGGGGCUCAGGCCGUUCUCCCCCGAAGCUCGGGCUGCCGGGCUGUUCUGGCUCUGGCCUCCCUCUCCUCCUCUUCCUCUUCCUUCUGUCCCCUCCCGCGUUCCUUCCCGGCCGCGCCGCCUGCGCCCUCGCCUCCUGUGGCGCUGCUCCUCCGCCCUGCGCUCCUGGGGUCCCCGCAGUCCGGCUGGCCGCGUUGCGCGCGGGGCUCACUUUCUGCCGCCGGUGGCGAGUGGCUGAACUCCUAAGUGACCAGGAACAGACGAUUUUUAACCGAGUUCUGCUGCGUGGAGCCCAGGUUGGCGCUAGUGAGUGCAGUGUGCUGACCCAAGUGGUGGUGGCCCAAGGACGCGCUGACCCGUACAUUUGGCAAAGCUUUCAUUAAAUGUAUCAGAUUCUCGCGGAAGUGGUUGCAGUCCGGAGAGUGAAACAGCUAUCUCUCAAGUCCUGACCGGUUCAGCUGAAAUCUACAUUUGCACUGAAUCUGGCAAAACACGGACGGGUCCGCCCGAGAUCUCAGGAAACCCAGAGCAAGUUACCUCCAUGUAGUUGAUCAUUCUUUCUGAAAGGACGGACACCAUUUACCCCACUGCAAUCCUGUCCAACGGGCAGCUCUGAGUUUAGCUUUAGCGCCAAAGGAUUGAUUUCCCCCACCCGCUGGAGAUUUACUGGGGACGAGCGGGGGAGGGGAGGCGAAGGUACCUCGGAGGAGGUCAAGUGGGGGAGGAGGAGGAGCAGCAGAAAAUUACCAGCCAAGCAGGGGAGGGAGUUGGAAGCCCGGAAAUAUACCAGGAUGCCUCAAGUAACCUUCCUUUAAGUCUCAGAAUUCAGCCCUCGGAAAACAGCCUCAUAAGGUGUCCUGGGAAGGAGUCCUCGGGUGGGCUGCGGAGGUGAUGUCAAGAGUUACAGCUACUUUAUGAAUUAAACUGACGGCUAAGGCAUGUCGGGACAGUUUAGUGUAAGCUGAAUGGUGCGUGGACGGGGCAACUUUUAAAGAGAGGUGGGCAAUCAUUGGUGGCAUCUACCAGUAUAUUCUGCAUGUAACAGUAGUUUGGAAGCUGAAGAAAAACCCCUCAAAUCCCAGUAAAUGCCCGGUCAGUUCGAGAGAGAUUUUAGGGACAAUUUUGAAGGUCGCUGUCUGCUCCAACUCCGCAGAGAUGAACAAGAGUGUGAACUCUGGCGCGGGUGUGUUUAGAAUUAUCUACGACUUCAGAUCCAUGCUGUUGAAACUCAUCAAUUCUUUGUGACUUCACGUGGAGAGAAGAAUUUGCCCUGCCUCCCUACCUGCUAAAUGCCGACUGAGAAAAGGGGCCCAGGAGACGACCCCUUUCAGAAAGAACGUCACUUCAUCAACUCGGCUGAGUUAUUAACUUGCUCCCCGAAAGGUCAACAACGCCUUCUCUUCUCAGCCGCACCGCGCGGAGAUCAAUCGCUUUACCCUAGGUAGCCUCUUGUUCAGGGCUCAGGAACUCCUGUCUUAAGGUCCUUCUGGGGCUCAGAAGCUGUGUUGUGUAUGUUCUUUCCAAGAAUCCCACCUGUCUGCUUUCAAGCACACACGGCGCUAGAAAUUUAGCCUAGCCUGAGUCCUGGGAUGAGAGAAGAGCUAAACAAAGAGACCCCAACCGUCCCCUUGGCCCCCUGCCCCGCCGUUUUGCAGUUUGCCAACCUUCUAGCUAGACAGCCCCCUAAGUCUCCGUGUUGCGAGUGAAAGAGAAUUUUUCUAUUUCAUCUUCCCAUUGACCGAAGCAGAAAAAUUGAACCGAAUCUACGCCCCUUGUUCUGAUUCCUGCUAGAGGAAAACAGAAAAUCAUCCCGCAGGUCUCUUUCAGUCCCUGGAUGGCGAGCGCAGCCCCUGGGAGGCCACACUUAGUUCUUUAUUGUGAAUCUCUCGCUACUCAAGUUCGUUCGGGACCAGGGCCUCGGAUGGCCUCGGUUGCCCGUAAGUACGCGAAAGAAGAGGUGAAUCCAAUCGCUGGCCUAGAGGAUAGUGAUCAGACAACCCGAGGAUUACUAAACAAGGGGCGGCGGUGUCCCUGUCUCAUGGGGUUGGCGUGGGGCGGGGGGUAGGCAGCAAGAUCCUCCAGGCUCCUGGAUGCAAAGAGUGAGAAAGAAAGCGCAGCCUCUGGCAGCCUGCUUAUAAAUGCAGCCUUUCGGAAGAUGAAACUUGCAGUCUUAGGUUGUCCUCCUUUAUAUCCAUGUUCCAAUCCUCUGGGCUUU
This 2665-nucleotide long non-coding RNA is filed under the name Homo sapiens (human). RNAcentral describes it as "non-protein coding lnc-EMB-4:6". Lineage: Eukaryota; Metazoa; Chordata; Mammalia; Primates; Hominidae. The record is from RNAcentral.